This is a non-coding RNA of Podarcis lilfordi (Lilford's wall lizard), 71 nucleotides long. Lineage: Eukaryota; Metazoa; Chordata; Lepidosauria; Squamata; Lacertidae. The record is from the annotation of a GenBank genome assembly.
GGUUCUUAGCUCAGUCAUAGAGCGUCUGCUUUUGAUGCAGAAGGUCCCAGAUUCCAUCUCUGUCAUCUCCA